CAGCCGCCGCGGUAAUACGGAGGGGGCUAGCGUUGUUCGGAAUUACUGGGCGUAAAGCGCACGCAGGCGGCUUGGUAAGUUAGAGGUGAAAGCCCGGAGCUCAACUCCGAAAUUGCCUUUAAGACUGCCGAGCUAGCAGGUGAGAGAGGUAAGUGGAAUUCCGAGUGUAGAGGUGAAAUUCGUAGAUAUUCGGAAGAACACCAGUGGCGAAGGCGGCUUACUGGCUCAUACUGGACGCUGAGGUGCGAAAGCGUGGGGAGCAGACAGGAUUAGAUACCCCUGUAGUCCCUGUCUCUUAUAC
Molecule: ribosomal RNA, 301 nt
Filed under: uncultured bacterium
Lineage: Bacteria
Description: partial 16S ribosomal RNA
Rfam family: Bacterial small subunit ribosomal RNA
Source: RNAcentral